Molecule: ribosomal RNA, 2517 nt
Filed under: Escherichia coli
Lineage: Bacteria; Pseudomonadati; Pseudomonadota; Gammaproteobacteria; Enterobacterales; Enterobacteriaceae
Description: partial 23S ribosomal RNA
Rfam family: Bacterial large subunit ribosomal RNA
Source: RNAcentral
CGGGACACGUGGUAUCCUGUCUGAAUAUGGGGGGACCAUCCUCCAAGGCUAAAUACUCCUGACUGACCGAUAGUGAACCAGUACCGUGAGGGAAAGGCGAAAAGAACCCCGGCGAGGGGAGUGAAAAAGAACCUGAAACCGUGUACGUACAAGCAGUGGGAGCCUCUUUAUGGGGUGACUGCGUACCUUUUGUAUAAUGGGUCAGCGACUUAUAUUCUGUAGCAAGGUUAACCGAAUAGGGGAGCCGAAGGGAAACCGAGUCUUAACUGGGCGUUAAGUUGCAGGGUAUAGACCCGAAACCCGGUGAUCUAGCCAUGGGCAGGUUGAAGGUUGGGUAACACUAACUGGAGGACCGAACCGACUAAUGUUGAAAAAUUAGCGGAUGACUUGUGGCUGGGGGUGAAAGGCCAAUCAAACCGGGAGAUAGCUGGUUCUCCCCGAAAGCUAUUUAGGUAGCGCCUCGUGAAUUCAUCUCCGGGGGUAGAGCACUGUUUCGGCAAGGGGGUCAUCCCGACUUACCAACCCGAUGCAAACUGCGAAUACCGGAGAAUGUUAUCACGGGAGACACACGGCGGGUGCUAACGUCCGUCGUGAAGAGGGAAACAACCCAGACCGCCAGCUAAGGUCCCAAAGUCAUGGUUAAGUGGGAAACGAUGUGGGAAGGCCCAGACAGCCAGGAUGUUGGCUUAGAAGCAGCCAUCAUUUAAAGAAAGCGUAAUAGCUCACUGGUCGAGUCGGCCUGCGCGGAAGAUGUAACGGGGCUAAACCAUGCACCGAAGCUGCGGCAGCGACACUAUGUGUUGUUGGGUAGGGGAGCGUUCUGUAAGCCUGUGAAGGUGGCCUGUGAGGGUUGCUGGAGGUAUCAGAAGUGCGAAUGCUGACAUAAGUAACGAUAAAGCGGGUGAAAAGCCCGCUCGCCGGAAGACCAAGGGUUCCUGUCCAACGUUAAUCGGGGCAGGGUGAGUCGACCCCUAAGGCGAGGCCGAAAGGCGUAGUCGAUGGGAAACAGGUUAAUAUUCCUGUACUUGGUGUUACUGCGAAGGGGGGACGGAGAAGGCUAUGUUGGCCGGGCGACGGUUGUCCCGGUUUAAGCGUGUAGGCUGGUUUUCCAGGCAAAUCCGGAAAACCAAGGCUGAGGCGUGAUGACGAGGCACUACGGUGCUGAAGCGACAAAUGCCCUGCUUCCAGGAAAAGCCUCUAAGCAUCAGGUAACAUCAAAUCGUACCCCAAACCGACACAGGUGGUCAGGUAGAGAAUACCAAGGCGCUUGAGAGAACUCGGGUGAAGGAACUAGGCAAAAUGGUGCCGUAACUUCGGGAGAAGGCACGCUGAUAUGUAGGUGAAGCGACUUGCUCGUGGAGCUGAAAUCAGUCGAAGAUACCAGCUGGCUGCAACUGUUUAUUAAAAACACAGCACUGUGCAAACACGAAAGUGGACGUAUACGGUGUGACGCCUGCCCGGUGCCGGAAGGUUAAUUGAUGGGGUUAGCGGUAACGCGAAGCUCUUGAUCGAAGCCCCGGUAAACGGCGGCCGUAACUAUAACGGUCCUAAGGUAGCGAAAUUCCUUGUCGGGUAAGUUCCGACCUGCACGAAUGGCGUAAUGAUGGCCAGGCUGUCUCCACCCGAGACUCAGUGAAAUUGAACUCGCUGUGAAGAUGCAGUGUACCCGCGGCAAGACGGAAAGACCCCGUGAACCUUUACUAUAGCUUGACACUGAACAUUGAGCCUUGAUGUGUAGGAUAGGUGGGAGGCUUUGAAGUGUGGACGCCAGUCUGCAUGGAGCCGACCUUGAAAUACCACCCUUUAAUGUUUGAUGUUCUAACGUUGGCCCGUAAUCCGGGUUGCGGACAGUGUCUGGUGGGUAGUUUGACUGGGGCGGUCUCCUCCUAAAGAGUAACGGAGGAGCACGAAGGUUGGCUAAUCCUGGUCGGACAUCAGGAGGUUAGUGCAAUGGCAUAAGCCAGCUUGACUGCGAGCGUGACGGCGCGAGCAGGUGCGAAAGCAGGUCAUAGUGAUCCGGUGGUUCUGAAUGGAAGGGCCAUCGCUCAACGGAUAAAAGGUACUCCGGGGAUAACAGGCUGAUACCGCCCAAGAGUUCAUAUCGACGGCGGUGUUUGGCACCUCGAUGUCGGCUCAUCACAUCCUGGGGCUGAAGUAGGUCCCAAGGGUAUGGCUGUUCGCCAUUUAAAGUGGUACGCGAGCUGGGUUUAGAACGUCGUGAGACAGUUCGGUCCCUAUCUGCCGUGGGCGCUGGAGAACUGAGGGGGGCUGCUCCUAGUACGAGAGGACCGGAGUGGACGCAUCACUGGUGUUCGGGUUGUCAUGCCAAUGGCACUGCCCGGUAGCUAAAUGCGGAAGAGAUAAGUGCUGAAAGCAUCUAAGCACGAAACUUGCCCCGAGAUGAGUUCUCCCUGACUCCUUGAGAGUCCUGAAGGAACGUUGAAGACGACGACGUUGAUAGGCCGGGUGUGUAAGCGCAGCGAUGCGUUGAGCUAACCGGUACUAAUGAACCGUGAG